RNAcentral lists this ribosomal RNA (425 nucleotides) under uncultured bacterium. Its description in RNAcentral is "partial 16S ribosomal RNA". It matches the Rfam family "Bacterial small subunit ribosomal RNA", at positions 354 to 796 of the family's 1533-position model. The record is from RNAcentral.
GUUAGGAAUAUUGGACAAUGGGCGCAAGCCUGAUCCAGCCAUGCCGCGUGAACGAUGAAGGCCUUCGGGUUGUAAAGUUCUUUAGCCGAUGAUUAUAAUGACUGUAGUCGGAAAAUAAGCCCCGGCUAACUUCGUGCCAGCAGCCGCGGUAAUACGAAGGGGGCGAGCGUUAUUCGGAAUCACUGGGCGUAAAGCGUGCGUAGGUGGUCUCGUAAGUUAGGAGUGAAAGCCCAGGGCUCAACCUUGGAAUUGCUCUUAAUACUGCAAGGCUAGAAUCUCGGAGAGGAUAGCGGAAUUUCCAGUGUAGCAGUGAAAUGCGUAGAUAUUGGAAGGAACACCAGUGGCGUAAGCGGCUAUCUGGACGAGUAUUGACGCUGAGGCACGAAAGCGUGGGGAUCAAACAGGAUUAGAUACCCUAGUAGUCC